UUAUGGCUGUCGUCAGCUCGUGUCGUGAGAUGUUGGGUUAAGUCCCGCAACGAGCGCAACCCCCGUCGCAUGUUGCCAGCAUUUAGUUGGGGACUCAUGCGAGACUGCCGGUGACAAACCGGAGGAAGGUGGGGAUGACGUCAAGUCCUCAUGCCCCUUAUGUCCAGGGCUACACACGUGCUACAUUGGCGCAUACAGAGGGCUGCGAUACCGCGAGGUGGAGCGAAUCCCUUAAAGUGCGUCUCGGUUCGGAUUGCAGGCUGAAAUUCGCCUGCAUGAAGGCGGAGUUGCUAGUAAUCGCGGAUCAGCACUGCCGCGGUGAAUACGUUCCCGGGCCUUGUACACACCGCCCGUCACACCACGGGAGUGAGCAACACCCGAAGCCGGUGGCCCAACCCGCAAGGGAGGGAGCCGUCGAAGGUGGGGCUCGUGACUGGGGUGAAGUCGUAACAAGGUAGCCGUAGCGGAAGCUGCGGCUGGAUCACCUCCUUUCUAGGGAGCAUCUAGCGAUGCCCCGAUCCUGGGUCCGUCGUAAGACGGGCCCUCGCGGCCGCCGAGCCCUCGAGGCUUGGCGGUGUCUAAGCGGAUCGGGCCUAGCAUGUCGACCGAACCUGGCUGGAUGGCCGCAGAUUGCGCGUGCUCCCUUACUACUUGGGGAGCACAAGCUGCCUCGGUCGCAAGUGGUCCAGCAUGCUGUUGAGUUUUGAGAGACCGGCGUCCGCCGGUCCGCGCCAGGGCACGUCGCAGACGGCGUGGUCAACCAGAGCGGGGACAGGCCGACGUUUACGCCUCUUCACGGUCCUUGAAAACUGCACAGAAGCCACAUCAGCCGCCAUCGAUAAGCGGCGGCUGAAAACGGGUAUCACCGGGCCCUAUGUGACCUUUGGGUCAUGUUGGGCCAGAUCACCGUCAAGAUAGUAAGGGCACACGGUGGAUGCCUUGGCACCAAGAGUCGAUGAAGGGCGUAAACGGCUGCGAUAAGCCACGGUUAGGCGCCACAUAGCCUUUGACCCGUGGAUUCCCGAAUGGGGAAACCCGG
This 1039-nucleotide small RNA is filed under the name uncultured Solirubrobacterales bacterium. Its description in RNAcentral is "bacterial SSU rRNA". The stretch from base 1 to 492 matches the Rfam family "Bacterial small subunit ribosomal RNA", at positions 1043 to 1533 of the family's 1533-position model. The record is from RNAcentral. Lineage: Bacteria; Bacillati; Actinomycetota; Thermoleophilia; Solirubrobacterales.